Molecule: ribosomal RNA, 1139 nt
Filed under: Pseudarthrobacter oxydans
Lineage: Bacteria; Bacillati; Actinomycetota; Actinomycetes; Micrococcales; Micrococcaceae
Description: bacterial SSU rRNA
Rfam family: Bacterial small subunit ribosomal RNA
Source: RNAcentral
UGCAAGUCGAACGAUGAUCCGGUGCUUGCACCGGGGAUUAGUGGCGAACGGGUGAGUAACACGUGAGUAACCUGCCCUUAACUCUGGGAUAAGCCUGGGAAACUGGGUCUAAUACCGGAUAUGACUGAUCAUCGCAUGGUGGUUGGUGGAAAGCUUUUUUGUGGUUUUGGAUGGACUCGCGGCCUAUCAGCUUGUUGGUGAGGUAAUGGCUUACCAAGGCGACGACGGGUAGCCGGCCUGAGAGGGUGACCGGCCACACUGGGACUGAGACACGGCCCAGACUCCUACGGGAGGCAGCAGUGGGGAAUAUUGCACAAUGGGCGCAAGCCUGAUGCAGCGACGCCGCGUGAGGGAUGACGGCCUUCGGGUUGUAAACCUCUUUCAGUAGGGAAGAAGCGAAAGUGACGGUACCUGCAGAAGAAGCGCCGGCUAACUACGUGCCAGCAGCCGCGGUAAUACGUAGGGCGCAAGCGUUAUCCGGAAUUAUUGGGCGUAAAGAGCUCGUAGGCGGUUUGUCGCGUCUGCCGUGAAAGUCCGGGGCUCAACUCCGGAUCUGCGGUGGGUACGGGCAGACUAGAGUGAUGUAGGGGAGACUGGAAUUCCUGGUGUAGCGGUGAAAUGCGCAGAUAUCAGGAGGAACACCGAUGGCGAAGGCAGGUCUCUGGGCAUUAACUGACGCUGAGGAGCGAAAGCAUGGGGAGCGAACAGGAUUAGAUACCCUGGUAGUCCAUGCCGUAAACGUUGGGCACUAGGUGUGGGGGACAUUCCACGUUUUCCGCGCCGUAGCUAACGCAUUAAGUGCCCCGCCUGGGGAGUACGGCCGCAAGGCUAAAACUCAAAGGAAUUGACGGGGGCCCGCACAAGCGGCGGAGCAUGCGGAUUAAUUCGAUGCAACGCGAAGAACCUUACCAAGGCUUGACAUGAACCGGAAAGACCUGGAAACAGGUGCCCCGCUUGCGGUCGGUUUACAGGUGGUGCAUGGUUGUCGUCAGCUCGUGUCGUGAGAUGUUGGGUUAAGUCCCGCAACGAGCGCAACCCUCGUUCUAUGUUGCCAGCACGUGAUGGUGGGGACUCAUAAGAGACUGCCGGGGUCAACUCGGAGGAAGGUGGGGACGACGUCAAAUCAUCAUGCCCCUUAU